UACCAGCUCUCCGAGUGGUGUGGAUGUUUAUUGGGCCUAAAGCAUCCGUAGCUGGCUGGGCAAGUCCCCUGUUAAAUCCACCGAUUUAAUCGUUGGAGUGCGGGGGAUACUGCUCGGCUAGGGGGCGGGAGAGGCAGACGGUAUUUUCGGGGUAGGGGUGAAAUCCUAUAAUCCCGAGAAGACCACCAGUGGCGAAGGCUGUCUGCUAGAACGUGCCCGACGGUGAGGGAUGAAAGCUGGGGGAGCGAACCGGAUUAGAUACCCGGGUAGUCCCAGCUGUAAACGAUGCAGGCUAGGUGUUUGGACGGCCACGUGCCGUUCUAGUGCCGCAGGGAAGCCGUUAAGCCUGCCGCCUGGGGAGUACGGCCGCAAGGCUGAAACUUAAGGAAUUGGCGGGGAGCACUACAAGGGGUGAAGCUUGCGGUUU
Molecule: ribosomal RNA, 427 nt
Filed under: uncultured archaeon
Lineage: Archaea
Description: bacterial SSU rRNA
Rfam family: Archaeal small subunit ribosomal RNA
Source: RNAcentral